UUGUUCAAGGCUGUUCUAACUAGAUAAGCCUGAUCAUAUCAUCAAUAUUGUUGACUUCUACGGGGUGCAGAUUUUAGUAGACCACGGGAUGAUUAUAACUGUGUGAGAAAUUAGCGACAUGAUGUUUCAAGGACUACCAAAUAUUCGACGAAUCCCACAAUGGAUUCAUAAUGUGGUCAACUGCAUUGCUGUCGUGUCCGCCAUGUGUACGAGCUUACCUCUGGGUUAUGUUUACAAGUAUAAUAAAAGUAGCUGUUUGCUGUUUUCAGAUAUGUUUGUAACAGUGAAAGGUAACCAGAAUGUGAUUAUAAACUAUGAUAGAACAGUGUGGGGACAAACUGAUACUUGUUAUUAUACUACGUUUACACCUCUAGUCACAGCAAUUCACUGUUUUAUUUGGACAUGGUUUUUUAUCCACUUGAAGCAAACGAUUAAAGAAGGCGGAUAUGGAGGACUGGUGAUGAUAUGGAUGAUACUUUUUUAUCUUAUCUUCUUUAUAUGCAUGUUUGUAUCCAGUAUUCGACUGAGUAGUGGUUUUGCAGUAUUUUGCCGAAAUCUAGAAGACAAUCAAAUAUCAGAAACACCAAACCGGUCAUUCACCUGUAGAGAAUUUGAAAACCUGUUUUGGGCCACUUAUAGCAGUAAAAGACCCAUAUAUACAUUUAUUACACUAGCAGAGAUAUCAAGCUGGGUAUUAACUCUACUAUUGGUUCUACAGAUUGGUCUAGCAGUUUAUAGGGGUUAUUUACUUAUGUUUUCAACACCGAGUGAAACACAAGGCAUCAGUAACGCGCUUUGUGGUUCAUCUUUCGAGCCAGGUCUGGACAGGGAAACUGGACCAAUUUGCUUUACUCCCGAUUCAGCUUCGAAUGAAGAUAUGAAGUCCAGUGAAACGGAGAUAUGUAUUGUUAAUAAGCAUAGCGAUAAACAGUUGAUAAAGGGUAAAAACAGUGUUAUCUAGUCAAAGUGUUUCUAAAUUGAUUUAAUUGUGAUGUGCUUUUAUCUUUGAUAUGUUAAUUGAUUUUUCUUGCAUUUGGUACAUGUAAUUAUAAUAGCAUGUUAAAUAGGUGCACUAUCAAUCGGUCCAAUACUCAUUAUACGAUAUAAUUGCUUCUUUUACAAAGUUGUUUUUAAAAAUAUGAUAAGGCAGUGUGAGGGUAAAUGUCAUCAGUUAAAG
Molecule: long non-coding RNA, 1177 nt
Organism: Patella vulgata (common limpet)
Lineage: Eukaryota; Metazoa; Mollusca; Gastropoda; Patellidae
Exons: 4
Source: RefSeq, a predicted model, not a curated record